Molecule: ribosomal RNA, 433 nt
Filed under: uncultured bacterium
Lineage: Bacteria
Description: partial 16S ribosomal RNA
Rfam family: Bacterial small subunit ribosomal RNA
Source: RNAcentral
AACGAACGCUGGCGGCAUGCCUAACACAUGCAAGUCGAACGAUACCUUCGGGUCUAGUGGCGCACGGGUGCGUAACGCGUGGGAACCUGCCCUUAGGUUCGGAAUAACUCCCCGAAAGGGGUGCUAAUACCGGAUAAUGUCUUCGGACCAAAGAUUUAUCGCCUUUGGAUGGGCCCGCGUUGGAUUAGCUAGUUGGUAGGGUAAAAGCCUACCAAGGCGACGAUCCAUAGCUGGUCUGAGAGGAUGAUCAGCCACACUGGGACUGAGACACGGCCCAGACUCCUACGGGAGGCAGCAGUGGGGAAUAUUGGACAAUGGGCGAAAGCCUGAUCCAGCAAUGCCGCGUGAGUGAUGAAGGCCUGAGGGUUGUAAAGCUCUUUUACCCGGGAUGAUAAUGACAGUACCGGGAGAAUAAGCUCCGGCUAACUCCGUG